Molecule: ribosomal RNA, 497 nt
Filed under: uncultured bacterium
Lineage: Bacteria
Description: bacterial SSU rRNA
Rfam family: Bacterial small subunit ribosomal RNA
Source: RNAcentral
AUUGAACGCUGGCGGCAGGCUUAACACAUGCAAGUCGAACGGUAACAGAGAAGUGCUUGCACUUUUGCUGACGAGUGGCGGACGGGUGAGUAAUGCUUGGGAAUUUACCUUGUUGUGGGGGACAACAGUUGGAAACGACUGCUAAUACCGCAUAAUGUCUUAGGACCAAAGGUGGCCUCUAUUUAUAUGCUAUCGCGACAAGAUGAGCCCAAGUGGGAUUAGCUAGUUGGUAAGGUAAAGGCUUACCAAGGCGACGAUCCCUAGCUGGUCUUAGAGGAUGACCAGCCACACUGGAACUGAGACACGGUCCAGACUCCUACGGGAGGCAGCAGUGGGGAAUAUUGCACAAUGGGGGAAACCCUGAUGCAGCCAUGCCGCGUGUGUGAAGAAGGCUUUCGGGUUGUAAAGCACUUUCAGCGAGGAGGAAAGGGUAGUUACCUAAUACGUAAUAUCUGUGACGUUACUCGCAGAAGAAGCACCGGCUAACUCCGUGCCAG